Long non-coding RNA from Phasianus colchicus (ring-necked pheasant), 732 nucleotides. Lineage: Eukaryota; Metazoa; Chordata; Aves; Galliformes; Phasianidae. The record is from Ensembl.
GCUUAGAGCAUGGCAUGAUGGAACCCAAACGUGCAAAACCAGUGGAGGAAGAAGAGGAGGAAGGCUCCAACCAUGGCCCAAAUGCAAAGAGGAGAAUGUUGAGGCUCAGAGCGUGGCAUGAUGGAACCCAGAUGUGCAAAACCAAUGGAGGAAGAGGAAGAGGAUGAAGGCUCUGAGUGUGGCACAACAGCACAGAGCAGAGUGCUGAGGCUCAGAGCAUGGCACGAUGGAACCCAGAUGUGCAAAACCAACGGUGGAAAAGGAGAAAGAAGAGGAGGAAGAGGAAGAUGAAGGCUCCCAGCGUGGCACAACAGCACAGAGCAGAGCACUGGGGGAAGGAGGACUGGCUCAGAUCUCUCCGGCCGUCUCGACGACGUGGAACAGCGUGACGUUGUAGAGCACCUGGUGCCCGUUGUUCCAGGUGUAGAGGACCCUCUCCCUCGGGUUGUAGUCCAGCAUGGAGAUGUGUGAGUACUGGUUGUGGAAGGGGAUGUCCGUGUAUUCGUAGCUCGAGGUGGACGUGUGAUAAGCGAAGUAGAUUUUGGCUCCUGCCAGGUGGGAGUUGGUGACGUACAGAGUCCCGCAGAUGAGGAACGAUUCCCCUGCGCUGCGUUUCGGGUAACCCGUGUCCCAGCUCCUCAGCACCUGUUGGUGGGGAGGGAGUAAAGGGGGGGGGAAAUGGCCCAAGGGUGGUUCAAAUCCCAGUGGGAUCGCUGAUGGAAGUUGGGUUUU